Lepidothrix coronata (blue-crowned manakin) is the source of this 283-nucleotide long non-coding RNA. RefSeq lists it as uncharacterized. NCBI's taxonomy places the organism in Eukaryota, Metazoa, Chordata, Aves, Passeriformes, Pipridae. The record is from RefSeq and is a predicted model, not a curated record. The transcript has 3 exons.
UCAAAUGGAAAAGCAGUACAUUAAGGAGCCAGAGGAGCCUCAGCAGUCCCUCUGCAGCAUCCUGGCCAAGCAACAAACCUGAGAUGCAAGCUUGGGUCAAGCCACAAGACUGGUUCCUUAGUCCCCACAGGUCUUGUUUGUCCUCAACAGUGCCCAGGGAAAUGAAUCUCUUCUAAAAUUGCAGAUCUGUAUGUUACAUAUGCUACAUGGAAGCAUAUUCUCCUGAAGAAAAGAUAUUACUGAGUAGAGAUCUUACCAGCAGAAACUAAAUAAAUGAAGCUGC